Molecule: ribosomal RNA, 811 nt
Filed under: uncultured bacterium
Lineage: Bacteria
Description: bacterial SSU rRNA
Rfam family: Bacterial small subunit ribosomal RNA
Source: RNAcentral
AGAGUUUGCUUCUGGCUCAGGACGAACGCUGGCGGCGUGCUUAACACAUGCAAGUCGAACGGAAAGGCCUCUUCCUUGUGGUGGGGGUACUCGAGUGGCGAACGGGUGAGUAACACGUGGGUGAUCUGCCGUGCACUUUGGGAUAAGCCUGGGAAACUGGGUCUAAUACCGGAUAGGACCAUGCUCUAGGGGUGUGGUGGAAAGAUGUUUUUCGGUGCAUGAUGAGCCCGCGGCCUAUCAGCUUGUUGGUGGGGUAAUGGCCUACCAAGGCGGCGACGGGUAGCCGGCCUGAGAGGGUGGACGGCCACAUUGGGACUGAGACACGGCCCAGACUCCUACGGGAGGCAGCAGUGGGGAAUAUUGCACAAUGGGCGCAAGCCUGAUGCAGCGACGCCGCGUGGGGGAUGGACGGCCUUCGGGUUGUAAACCCCUUUCGUCAGGGACGAAGCCAUCCUUUGGGUGGUGACGGUACCUGGAUAAGAAGCACCGGCUAACUACGUGCCAGCAGCCGCGGUAAUACGUAGGGUGCGAGCGUUGUCCGGAUUACUGGGCGUAAAGAGCUCGUAGGUGGUGUGUCGCGUCGUCUGUGAAAUUCCGGGGCUUAACUCCGGGCGUGCAGGCGAUACGGGCAUUACUGGAGUGCUGUAGGGGUAACUGGAAUUCCUGGUGUAGCGGUGAAAUGCGCAGAUAUCAGGAGGAACACCGAUGGCGAAGGCAGGUUACUGGGCAGUUACUGACGCUGAGGAGCGAAAGCAUGGGUAGCGAACAGGAUUAGAUACCCUGGUAGUCCAUGCUGUAAACGGUGGGCGCU